GAAACAGCAUACUGUAAUACAUGCCCACUGGGGCUUGAGCUGUAAACAUUCACCCCUAGACACUGCUGUGGGGUUGGAGCCCCACAACCUGCCCAUCUGCAUGUUUCCCCUAGAGGUUUGAGCAGCAGGACACUGAAGUAGCGAGCCACACCCCCAUCCAUCACAUGCCCUGCAAGGGUGAUAAAGAAACUUUUCCUGUUUCAACUGGGGGAUCGUCCAGGAUCAUGGAAGAACUGGCAACCAGUUCGCUUCACCACCCCCAGCUUAUACUCCUCUGGUGUGUAUCCUGAACCAUUGGGACUGCUUUGACCUUAGAAUCUGGAGGAAAAAAUGCCUCAUAGCCCUCUGCACAAAGAAGCCAUCAAACUCCAAACGGUCAGGCAACUGGAGCCUCGGACAAUGACUCCCUUUUGCCAGGAACCUUUAGAUAGACCUCUGGGAAGAAUUUGACUGCUGUUUUCCCCAAAACAACACUCUCUGUGAGCAGGAAUCAGCUAAGACUGGUCAUUAUCCAUAGUCUAAUAGCAGUUAGAUGUACCCAUUCAGAGGGGGCAUGUAAUACAGGAGAGGUCAGGGAAGUGCUUGGAAGGGAAGGGUGUGGCCCCUGGCUAGGGCUCCACCCCCAGGCCUGUGCCUAUGGACCUAGGUGAGGACAGACAUUUCUGUUUCGUACCCAAUUGCUGCAAUUCUCAAACCACCCUGGCCUGUCACAAGACACCAGCAGGCAGGCACACAAGUGACUGUAUGUCAAGAGGGACACAUUGAUGUAAGGAGACACAAGCAAUUGGAUGCGGAGAGGAAUGCACUGGCUUAAGAGCACACCAACAGGUACCAGCAGACACCAGGAGGUCAUCAACGGCAGAAUGAUGUGGAGUUAGGCCAGGGUGGUCAGAGGAGAGCCUGGCACUGAACAACCCAAUUUCAGAAGGAAAAACCACCUUUUCUCUCCAUCUCCCUUCUGGCUCCCCCAUCUGUUGAGAGCUACUUCCACUCAAGAAAACCUUGCACUCAUACUCCAAGCCCACGUGUGAUCUGAUUCUUCCGGUACACCAAGGAAAGAAACUCUGGGAUACAGAAAGCCCUCUGUCCUUGUGAUAAGGCAGGGGGUCUAAUUGAGCUAACACAAGCUGCCUAUGGACCCCUAAACUAAAAGAGCACCCUGUGACACAUGCCGGCUGGGAGUUCAGCUGCAAACAUCACCCCUAGACACUGCCAUGGGGUCAGAGCCCACAGCCUGCCCAUCUGCAUGCUCCCCCUAGAGGUUUGAGCAGUGGGGCACCAAAGAAGCAAGUCACACCCUCAUUACAAGACCUGCGAGGGGGAUAAGCGAGUUUUUCCUGUUUCAGUAUUAGAUAUUUUAAAAUUAUGAAUGUGUAGAAACUCAACAUUCUUAUAGAGUUCAUACAUAGAAUUUUCCAUGAAAUAGCUAUAGCUACAUGGAAAUACAUAACUUAAAUAAUUGUUUCUGAGUUAUUUUGAAGUCAUGAAUGCUGACAUACCACACAACUAUACAAAAAUAGAGUUAUACUAAAUUAUAAUUGCUACUCUUUCUUGAUAUUCAUAGUUAAAAAUUAAAUAAUCUUAUAGACAUAUUUUUAUUUUAGACAUAUAUAAAUAGUAUACUGUUUAAUAAUGUUUUACAAUAU
This 1646-nucleotide long non-coding RNA is filed under the name Homo sapiens (human). RNAcentral describes it as "HSALNT0072787". The record is from RNAcentral. Lineage: Eukaryota; Metazoa; Chordata; Mammalia; Primates; Hominidae.